This 253-nucleotide ribosomal RNA is filed under the name uncultured bacterium. Its description in RNAcentral is "partial 16S ribosomal RNA". It matches the Rfam family "Bacterial small subunit ribosomal RNA", at positions 524 to 776 of the family's 1533-position model. The record is from RNAcentral.
UACGUAGGUGGCAAGCGUUGUCCGGAUUUACUGGGCGUAAAGAGCGCGCAGGCGGUCGUUCAAGUCGCGUGUGAAAGCCCCCGGCUCAACUGGGGAGGGUCACGCGAUACUGUUCGACUCGAAGGCAGGAGAGGGAAGUGGAAUUCCCGGUGUAGUGGUGAAAUGCGUAGAUAUCGGGAGGAACACCAAUGGCGAAGGCAGCUCGCUGGGACGGUACUGACGCUGAGGCGCGAAAGCGUGGGGAGCAAACAGG